AGUUUCCUGACCUCAAGCUUGCUGAAUGGUUAUAUAAGAGCACUCCCUCUUCCGUCCUCUUCUAGCUAUAUUUGCAGAGCCCAGUGAACCAGCAGAUUACCAUCCGCCACCCGACAAUGUCCUUCUCUGGGGAUCUUUGUGGCUACAAUUAGAUCCUGACCGGAGCAAGCAAUGCCUCCCUUCUUUCAAUCAAUCCUCUUGUGCUACAACCAUUCCAACCUCACGCCCGUGAAAAAACAAUGCCACUGUAAGACGGACUUAGAGAUUCUCGUCCCUGAGUCCCCACCCUAUGACAUUGCAGACUGCCACUCAUGCCACCUGCCUCCUUACUACUGCCACCUGCAUCCCGAACCACCUAUCGUGUUUGCCACUUUUGCCACAGACAUCUUCGAGGUAUAAAUGUGCCACGCCGGUGGCCAUUUGUCAGUAGGCUUAUUUUUGGUCAGGCCCACCGGAUAGAAGUGGGCCCCGACAAGGAGCUCGUUGCAGACGUGGGGAACAGAGAAUCGUGUGGUGCUAAAUUUAGGGCAGAGAAACUUACUGGUGCCUGUUCUUAAGGACUGGGAACAGUGGCCAUCGUACAUUUUGUAUAUUAAUGUAGUCGUGGUUGAGAAAAUAAUAAUAAUAAUAAUAAUAAUGGAUGGUGUGAA
This is a long non-coding RNA of Sphaerodactylus townsendi, 650 nucleotides long. RefSeq lists it as uncharacterized. The record is from RefSeq and is a predicted model, not a curated record. The transcript is spliced from 2 exons. Lineage: Eukaryota; Metazoa; Chordata; Lepidosauria; Squamata; Sphaerodactylidae.